RNAcentral lists this ribosomal RNA (118 nucleotides) under uncultured Bifidobacterium sp. Its description in RNAcentral is "partial 16S ribosomal RNA". It matches the Rfam family "Bacterial small subunit ribosomal RNA", at positions 335 to 452 of the family's 1533-position model. Lineage: Bacteria; Bacillati; Actinomycetota; Actinomycetes; Bifidobacteriales; Bifidobacteriaceae. The record is from RNAcentral.
ACUCUUAUGGGAGGCAGCAGUGGGGAAUAUUGCACAAUGGGCGCAAGCCUGAUGCAGCGACGCCGCGUGCGGGAUGACGGCCUUCGGGUUGUAAACCGCUUUUGACUGGGAGCAAGCC